Molecule: ribosomal RNA, 122 nt
Filed under: Oncorhynchus kisutch (coho salmon)
Lineage: Eukaryota; Metazoa; Chordata; Actinopteri; Salmoniformes; Salmonidae
Source: RNAcentral
GUUUUCGCUACGACCCACCGCUGAGUACGCCUGAUCUCGUCUGAUCUCGGAAGCUAAGCAGGGUCGGGCCUGGUUAGUACUUGGAUGGGAGACCGCCUGGGAAUACAGGUGCUGUGUAAGCU